Pogona vitticeps (central bearded dragon) is the source of this 1313-nucleotide non-coding RNA. Lineage: Eukaryota; Metazoa; Chordata; Lepidosauria; Squamata; Agamidae. The record is from RefSeq and is a predicted model, not a curated record.
GAGGGGAGUCUGUGGUCUUGGGCAAUUAAAGGCACCCUCCUUGCCCGCGCGCCCACCCGCCGUCCUCUCCCACUGGCGCGGCAGCAAAAUGGCUUCCAGCCCUGGAAGGGUUCCAUUGUGACCUCAACAGGGAAGGCGGGCGUGGGCAUCGCAGGGGAACUGCCGGGGCGGUUGGUGACAUGUGGGCCUACCCUUUAGCCCCACGAGAAAGGAGGAGGUCACGGGCGCUCCCUUGGGCCACGGUUCUGAUUUGGGGUGUUCUUGUGGGGCGAGGGUUCAUGGAAGCUGCAGCUGGCCCUUUGAGUGGAAAGGCGGCGGAGAAAGAGAGACCAAUGGCAACUUCUGUUCUCUUAAAUUAUUGAAAGAGAAUCCUGAUCUUUUGGGAUGAAACCAACCAAACAUUUCAUUUGAUGACAGCCGUCUGGCUAACUUCUUUCCGACAGGACCUGGCAGGUGUCCCACCAUUCACCGCUACAUCCCCCGUGAUUCGAAAGCCUUCAUCCCUAUAGCCCGCUCAAAGGGUUUCUCCAUCUUGUGCAGAGUAAAUGCUUCUUCCCGUUGUGAGUGGGUUCUGCUUGUCAACAGAGGGCGCUCUUACUAUUUCAACAUGGACCUGAAAGACCAUCUCAUCCUACAUAAUAAGGGCCUUGUUGUCAAGCAUAUGAGCAAAGAGCUGGAAGGGGAGUACCAAGUCCUCUCAGGACUUAACAGAACUUGUGACGGACAGGUCUUGCUGACAGCUGUGGGUCCAUUGUUUCUUUAUCGGAUUUUCCUACUGCUCCCUGCGAUCAUGUUCCUUGGUGGACUGGGUGCGCUGUGGGACUGGCUGGUUGUAGAGCGCAAUCGGCUUGCAGCCUCUGAAGAGGAACAAAACAUCAAUAACAGGAUUCAGCAUGUCUUCCCCCCACUGGAUUUGAAUACCAGCUUAUAAUGGAAAUGUAGUCAAGUCUCUCACUGAUUAAGGAAACAACUCGUAUAUAACCCUGUUUGCUCUGUAUGUGUGGCUUAUAAAUAUGUCCCAGCUUUUGCAAAUGUCCUGCUGCAAUCCUGAUUCUAUUUCAUUUACUUUCAAAAUCUUCUGUGUGUGCAUUUAGUAAAAUGUAUAAAAUUUUGUGUUUAUUUUGUUCCUCAUUGUUUGAGGUAUUGCACGUGUCUGGUAUUGUUUGUUUCCUUUGUUGUCAACCACCCAGAAUACUGUAUUGCACUAAAAGGGUAGUACAGAAGUGACAGGAAAUGAAAUGAACAGAACAGUUUUUGUAGUUGUCCUGGAUGAUUUGUUGAUUAGGGUUCAAACCUUUUUUCCCCCAGGAAUA